ACAGCAGUAGCCGCGGUAAUACGUAGGUGGCAAGCGUUGUCCGGAAUUAUUGGGCGUAAGGCGCGCGCAGGCGGAUCAGUUAGUCUGUCUUAAAAGUUCGGGGCUUAACCCCGUGAUGGGAUGGAAACUGCUGAUCUAGAGUAUCGGAGAGGAAAGUGGAAUUCCUAGUGUAGCGGUGAAAUGCGUAGAUAUUAGGAAGAACACCAGUGGCGAAGGCGACUUUCUGGGCGAAAACUGACGCUGAGGCGCGAAAGCCAGGGGAGCGAACGGGAUUAGAUACCCCUGUAGUCCCUGUCUCUUAUACA
RNAcentral lists this ribosomal RNA (305 nucleotides) under uncultured bacterium. Its description in RNAcentral is "partial 16S ribosomal RNA". It matches the Rfam family "Bacterial small subunit ribosomal RNA", at positions 506 to 809 of the family's 1533-position model. The record is from RNAcentral.